Molecule: ribosomal RNA, 253 nt
Filed under: uncultured bacterium
Lineage: Bacteria
Description: partial 16S ribosomal RNA
Rfam family: Bacterial small subunit ribosomal RNA
Source: RNAcentral
UACGGAGGGUGCAAGCGUUAUCCGGAUUCACUGGGUUUAAAGGGUGCGUAGGCGGGCAGGUAAGUCCGUGGUGAAAUCUCUGAGCUUGACUCAGAAACUGCCAUGGAUACUAUCUGUCUUGAAUAUUGUGGAGGUAAGCGGAAUAUGUCAUGUAGCGGUGAAAUGCUUAGAUAUGACAUAGAACACCAAUUGCGAAGGCAGCUUGCUACACAGUUAUUGACGCUGAGGCACGAAAGCGUGGGGAUCAAACAGG